CCUCACGUCCACCCCCUGGGACGGUGCCUCGUCCUUUGCGAGGGAUGCGAGGGUCACUGUCGAGUGGGUGGAGCAACACCUCCGCUGCCUCCUCACGUCAACGGCACCAAGAGCAGGGUCACCUUCCACGAGUUCCUCUACUAUCUCAAGUUUCUUGCUUCGCUUUAUCCUCAAAUUAGGGGCUUACUUCCAAGUCUGCUUUAUGUUUGCUUACGAGCUAUGAUUACCAUUUUUUGUGCUGCAAAAGGUGCUAAAUUAACUGGCUGAACAAGCCAGUGCUCCUUGAACCACAGAGACUUGAUCUGCAGAUUCUUCCAUUGGGUAAUGUUUCAUAUUUGACCACUUUAGAGGCGGGAGGAACAAAAUGACUAAUACUAGAGGCAACACGCAAUACAAAGUUCUAUCUCCAGCAUGCAUUGGACGGGAGGAAUAGGAACAAAAUAUUAUCAGUGCUGCAAUGAAGUAUAGGGUUCAUAUGAGGGUCUUUUUCUCGUGUUAA
Long non-coding RNA from Sorghum bicolor (sorghum), 499 nucleotides. RefSeq lists it as uncharacterized. The record is from RefSeq and is a predicted model, not a curated record. Lineage: Eukaryota; Viridiplantae; Streptophyta; Magnoliopsida; Poales; Poaceae. The transcript is spliced from 4 exons.